RNAcentral lists this ribosomal RNA (908 nucleotides) under uncultured bacterium. Its description in RNAcentral is "bacterial SSU rRNA". It matches the Rfam family "Bacterial small subunit ribosomal RNA", at positions 8 to 896 of the family's 1533-position model. The record is from RNAcentral.
CAGGGUUUGAUCCUGGCUCAGGAUGAACGCUGGCGGCGUGCCUAAUACAUGCAAGUCGAGCGAACGGACGAGAAGCUUGCUUCUCUGAUGUUAGCGGCGGACGGGUGAGUAACACGUGGAUAACCUACCUAUAAGACUGGGAUAACUUCGGGAAACCGGAGCUAAUACCGGAUAAUAUUUUGAACCGCAUGGUUCAAAAGUGAAAGACGGUCUUGCUGUCACUUAUAGAUGGAUCCGCGCUGCAUUAGCUAGUUGGUAAGGUAACGGCUUACCAAGGCAACGAUGCAUAGCCGACCUGAGAGGGUGAUCGGCCACACUGGAACUGAGACACGGUCCAGACUCCUACGGGAGGCAGCAGUAGGGAAUCUUCCGCAAUGGGCGAAAGCCUGACGGAGCAACGCCGCGUGAGUGAUGAAGGUCUUCGGAUCGUAAAACUCUGUUAUUAGGGAAGAACAUAUGUGUAAGUAACUGUGCACAUCUUGACGGUACCUAAUCAGAAAGCCACGGCUAACUACGUGCCAGCAGCCGCGGUAAUACGUAGGUGGCAAGCGUUAUCCGGAAUUAUUGGGCGUAAAGCGCGCGUAGGCGGUUUUUUAAGUCUGAUGUGAAAGCCCACGGCUCAACCGUGGAGGGUCAUUGGAAACUGGAAAACUUGAGUGCAGAAGAGGAAAGUGGAAUUCCAUGUGUAGCGGUGAAAUGCGCAGAGAUAUGGAGGAACACCAGUGGCGAAGGCGACUUUCUGGUCUGUAACUGACGCUGAUGUGCGAAAGCGUGGGGAUCAAACAGGAUUAGAUACCCUGGUAGUCCACGCCGUAAACGAUGAGUGCUAAGUGUUAGGGGGUUUCCGCCCCUUAGUGCUGCAGCUAACGCAUUAAGCACUCCGCCUGGGGAGUACGACCGCAGGGUUG